Molecule: long non-coding RNA, 502 nt
Organism: Gallus gallus (chicken)
Lineage: Eukaryota; Metazoa; Chordata; Aves; Galliformes; Phasianidae
Source: Ensembl
UGCCUGUCACACGAACACUUUCAAAAGGAAGGACUGAAGGCAAAGCAGUGUAUAUGCAGGAACCGGUGUGAUCUCUUUACAGAGAUGAAGAGUUUAAAAAGGCUCAGACUGUGAAUGAACUGGUCAUUAACAAGAACUUAAACAAGGAAAUAAUUUCUCUUAAUCCCCAGAAGAGGCUGCUAUUAUCACAGUAGGUGUGUGGUACCCUGAAGCCUCCAGAAAAACACAUAUCUUCAAAGCUUUGAAUGACUGCCUUGACCUCCAGUUUUUCCGGUGAUGGAAUCCAAAUUCUGUACAUUCCACUCCUUUUCCAGGAAUACUAACAAUUAAUACAAUGUGCAAAACAAAGGACAAACCUAAGGAUCAAAUGGGGGAAAAAAAAACAAACUCCCGUUUACACUAAGACAGAGCUAAACACCAAAGAGUAACUACGCUGGCUGGUCUUCCCAUUCAAUUUCACUUAAGAAUCUACUAAAUAUAUUUGCUUUGAUUUGUAUUUCAG